This 799-nucleotide non-coding RNA is filed under the name Tonoscolex birmanicus. Lineage: Eukaryota; Metazoa; Annelida; Clitellata; Crassiclitellata; Megascolecidae. The record is from RNAcentral.
UCAGUUUGAUUCUGACCGAUAAAUUAGCUUAACUCAACCAAUAUACAUGUAAACAUACCUGCCCCCGCACCAAAAAUAAACUAUAAGAUAUAACACCGUAUUAAGAAUAUUCUAUAUACGGCAGUGCGCCACAGUAAAUAACACUAUUAAAUCUGAUAAAUCAAGAAAUGAGUAUGAGUAAAGGGCUGACAAAAUUCGUGCCAGCUGUCGCGGUUAGACGAUAAGCCCAAGCUAAUAUAAUAUAGACCAAUUAACCGAUAAGUUAAACACACACUAAAAGUCUAAUUUAUACUGGCUAAGACUCCAACUUAUCACGCGCCAAUGAAACCAUGAACUAAAACAUGGAUUAGAUACCCAUCUAUUCAUGAUGUAAAUUUUAUAGUCGAAUAUUACGAACUGCAGUUUAAAAUUCAAAGAUCUUGGCGGUGUCUUAUAUAACCAGGGGAACCUGUCUCAUAACUCGAUAGUCCACGACCACCUGACCUUCUUUUGCAAACCAGCUUGUGUACUGCCGUUGUAAGCACACCUUUAAAAGAAAUAAGUAUGCUUUUAUGAUCAGCCUAUAACUGACUCAAAUACAUCAGGUCAAAGUGCAGUUCAUAGGGAGGAGAUGAUGGGUUACAACCUAAAAAUAGACAAUAGAUUAAAAAUAAAAAAUUUUAUGAAACUGGACUUGGAUGUAAUUAAUACCAUCACACAAUAAUGAAUUACUACCUAAGACAUGCACACAUCGCCCGUCACUCUAUCCAAAAGGAUAGAUAAGUCGUAACAAAGUAGGUGUAAUGGAAAUUGCGCCUGU